AUAAAGUGAAUUUAAAUUAGUUUUAGUUUGAACACUAGACAAAAAGAGAUUUUCAUAGGUGUAGAAGGCUUUUGUAGUUUUUUCUUCAUGAUGAAAAUUCUACUUCUCUAUCCGUAGAUAUAGGUUAUUUGACGGUUUACUCCUCUACCCAUGAACGUAGUUCAUUUGAUGGAACCAUGUAACACUAUACAGUGAAAUCACUUCCAUCUGGAAUUUGUAUAUGUUUGGGGUUGUUUCUUAUUUCAUCAUGUUAUAAUAGUUUUACAUGGCAUAAAAAUCUUGAUUCAAUUAUAAUUCAUUCGCCAAAACUCAAUGAUCAUCCUCCUUGUAUGAGUGAAAGCUAGACCAAAAUCUAAUUCAAACUCUUAUCUUUUGGUAGAGUCUUGCAGUUCUCAACUUUUUCAAGAUAACUUAUCCUGAUUUCAAGGUACAAUGAUUUUAGACUCAAUCUUGAAUUUGCAAAUUUUUUGUAGCUGUUUCUCACUUCAUCAUGUUAUAUUUAGCUUUCUAAGGCCUGUAAACCUUGAUCACUUGUUCUUCUUCUCAAAACAUGGAGUGCUCUGUUCAAGCUUUUUACAAGAUUGAUAUUUCCUGGCAAGAAUUUUGAAUAUUAUCAUAGUUGCAAAGUUGUUUGUACUCCGUUGUAUAGAGAAGAUCAAUGUUUGGGAAGAAAAAUAAUUUGUUUGAGCCAUUUUUAUCCUUACAUUUUUUCCGGCACAGCUCCUAAGUCAAAAUCCAAGUUUUGGUGUCAAUUUUAUGGUACAAGCAAAAGGAUAAAUACACAUAUAUAUACUAUGGGAACCAAUGAUAUUUAAGUUAGUAACUGUAAUAGACAUUCUUUGAAGAGAGUGUACAGUAUUCAACAGAUUUAUUUUUUUUUGGAUUUAAAAGUAGAUGCAACUCCCGAGAGAGUUGCAAUAUGCUUUUUGGAUUUAAAACUAUGUGCAAUUCUUUGGAUAUAUCUGUAAGUGUAAUGGUUUCCAUUCCUAACUUGUAGCCAGAGUUGCAUCUCAUUCUUUGCAAGGUAGCCAAAGACAGUUUGGUUGAUAAUCCAGGUAUUUGAUCAAAUACAAUUCCACUAGCUUUCUUCGAACACACCCGGAACUUCCUUCACGAGGGCCCGUUAUCACGAACCCGCAAGGCCAUUGGUGGUCUGCUCUGCUGUUAGCUCAACUUUUACCAUCCUUUCCUCAACACUCAUUAUACAUAAUCUUGGCAGAGUCUCAAGGUUUUCAGCUUCCUCAAGUUUUCGAGUCAGUUUCAGGUAAGGGAGCUCACUGGAAAAUUAACAAUGGAGGCACUUGGGAAUUUGGCACUCGACACCGGAAGGAAGUAUGUCAAUUUGGGUGAUAAUCUAAGGUCGCUCGAAACGAAGUUGCAAAGAUUAUGCAAUAGGAAAAUUGACUUCCAGUCGAAAGUGAAAGUUGCAGAAAGAUCAGGUACUAAGAAAAGGAAAAGAGAGGUUGAUAAUUGGUUUGAAGAGGUAGCAAAAAUAGAGAAUGAAUUCGUUGCAUUGAAAACGAGCAUACAAGAGGGUGGAUUUCUAGAAAAUGCGUUUAGCAGUGGGAAAAGAGUGGAGAAAAUGGACGAUGAUGUAGAGCAACUGAUGGUGCAAAGUGAUAGUGAUCAUUUGGGUGAGCUUUGCCUUGAGGCUUCUGAGAGCAGAGGUGAGCCACGAGAGACAACAGAAUUAUUUGGAGAAAUGUUUCGCAAAGGUCUGGAAACAAUCCCGGCAUGGUUGGGCACCAAUGAGAUCUCAAGGAUUGGGAUCUACGGGAUGGGUGGCGUGGGUAAGACUACUUUGGCGGAACACAUCCAUAAUCACCUCCUCGAGAAUACUCAAUUCAAUGUUUAUUGGAUUUCUGUCUCCCAAGAUUUUACCAUCAAAAGGCUGCAAGGUGACGUUGCUAAACGCUUAGGGCUUGAUCUGUCAGACGUGGAUGAUGCAAAAGUAAGGGCACGUAGGUUGCAUGACGCAUUCGAGAAAAUGAAGGAAAUGGUAGUGCUCAUGUUGGAUGAUGUUUGGGAAGAAUUUCGUUUAAACAGCUUAGGGAUUGAUGCAAGAAAUUGCAGACUGAUUUUGACUACACGCUCAGAAGAAGUGUGCAACCGGAUGCAAUGCCAUAGCAAAUUUGAGUUGAAAACUUUGGACACAGAGGAAGCUUCGGGUUUGUUCGAGCGUACACUUGGCAGCAAGACCGUGCUUGAUGGAGAUUUGAAAGAUAUUGCCAAGUCCGUUGCGAAAAGGUGUGAUGGAUUGCCUCUUGGUAUUGUCACAGUGGCUGGGAGCAUGAGAGGUGUGAGCAACAUUUGUGAGUGGAGAAAUGCAUUGGAAGACUUGAAAGCAUGUUCAGUAGGGCACGAUGAGAUGGAACGAGAUGUGUUUCCCAUCCUGGAAUGGAGUUUCAAUCGCUUGAAUGAAUGCCAAAGGAAUUGCUUCUUGUAUUGCUGUCUUUAUCCGGAAGAUUGGAAAAUAAAAAGAAAGGAACUAAUAGACCUCAUUAUUUGGGCAGAGCUGGUGUCAAAAAGGGAAUCAUGGUCAAAAGCAUUUGAUGAAGGUCAAACGAUAUUAAAAAAACUGAUAAGAGUUUGCUUGUUGGAAGAAGCAAAAGAUUUCAUGGGGGAUGACUGUGUGAAGAUGCAUGAUUUGGUCAGAGACAUGGCAUUAAGGAUCACGCAUGGAAACUCCAAACCAAAGAGCAGCAGAGAUGAUGUACCACGAUUCUUGGUGAAAAGCUUAGGAUGGAGUAAUUCAAAAGUAACACUGGAACCAAACAAAUGGACACAAGAUCUCCAUGCAGUUUCCUUCCAUUCAGAUAUGUUUCAACAUAUAAAAAUAAAAGUUCCACCAGCCUGGUCACCAAAUUGUCCUAAGCUCUCAACCUUGCUUCUUUCUGAUGUUUUCAUAAAAGAAAUCCCAGAUUCAUUCUUUCAACACAUGUGUGGACUUAAAGUUUUGAAUCUAUCUCGGUGCGGAGGUAUAACAGACUUGCCUAAUUCUGUUUCAAACUUGGUGGAUCUCACUGCUUUGAUUUUGGGGGGUUGUUGGGGCGUACGAUCUGUGCCACCAUUGGGAAAGCUCAAGCAAAUGAGGGAUUUGGACCUAUCCUCCACUCAGAUUCUGGAUUUGCCUCAAGAAUUGGAGUCAUUGGUUAAUCUCGAAAGGCUCAACUUGAAGGAUUGUAUACACCUCCGAUCCGUGCCACCACUGGGAAAGCUCAAGCAAUUGAGGGAAUUGGAUCUAUCCGGAACUGAGAUUGAGGAUUUACCUGAAGGCUGGGAGUCACUGGUCAACCUCGAAAGGUUUAACUUGGAUAAGUGUCUAACUGUAAGUCGAAAGAUAAUACCAAAAGGGACAUUUUCCCAAUUUCACUGUCUUCAACUGUUAUUCUUGCCAUCCUAUGGUGGGGUGCAAGUUAAUGAUCCAGAAGUGUUGAACCAAUUAGAAAGUUUUGAAGGAUGUUUGUCUUUUACGGACUUCUAUAAAAUUAUUCGGUGGCCAAAACACUAUAAUAAUGUUUAUAUCAAUGACAUCUUAACUGAGGAUCUGAGUUUUGUUAAUGAAGUGAGGGGGUUCCGGGAGAAACAACUGCAUUUCCAUCAGUGUAAGCUUGGUAGAGGAUCGAACUAUCUGCCAGAUGAUAUGAAAUGUCUGAUAAUCGAGGAUUGUGAGGGCAUGGGCAUUAGGUGCUUGUCAGAUGUUUUUAAGAAUUUUAUAAAUUUAAGCCACUUAACUGAAUUGGAAAUCAAGGAAUUGGUUGAAAUAGAGUUCCUCUGGCAAUUGUCCUCUGCUUCUCCACGUGAUCAGUUGGAAGUCUCGUCUUUUAGUCCACUCCAUGGUCUUGAAGAGCUACAUCUUUCCAGGUUGCCAAAUCUGGUUGGUCUUUUUUUACGGAGAAUCAGAACCAUCAUAUUUGCUCCCAGCUGGCACCUUUUCUUCCCUUAGAGAAUUGUGGAUUUAUGGAUGUCACAGCAUGAAGCAGCUAUUCACAAUGCAGUUGCUGCAGAACCUUCAAAAUCUUGAAGAAUUAAGAGUUGAAGAUUGUGAAGGACUGGAGGAGAUAGCAGCAGAUGGCAGUGGAGUAGGACAAGGAGGAGGAGAAGGCAUCCAAUUGACUUCAAGUGAAGCCACCGCCACUGUCGUCCUUCCAAAUUUAAGGAAGUUGCAUCUGAGGGGGCUGCCGCAACUGAAGAACAUUUGCAAGGCAGCCAUGAUCUGCGAAUCAAUCCGGUCCAAUAAUAUAGCAAAUUGUCGAAAUUUAAAGAGGCUGCCUUUGUUUCUUUCCACCAUCGACGGAGAAUCAGAACCAUAUUUGCUUCCAGCUGGCACCUUUUCUUCCCUUAGAGAAUUGUGGAUUUCUGGAUGUCACAACAUGAAGCAGCUAUUCACAGUGCAGCUGCUGCAGAACCUUCAAAAUCUUGAAAUAUUAGAAGUUAAUGAUUGUGAAGGACUGGAGGAGAUAGCAGCAGAUGGCAAUGGAGUAGGACAAGGAGGAGGAGAAGGCAUCCAAUUGACUUCAAGUGAAGCCACCGCCACUGUCGUCCUUCCAAAUUUAAGGAAGUUGCAUCUGAGGGGGCUGCCGCAACUGAAGAACAUUUGCAAGGCAGCCAUGAUCUGCGAAACAAUCCGGUCCAAUAAUAUAGCAAAUUGUCGAAAUUUAAAGAGGCUGCCUUUGUUUCUUUCCACCAUCGACGGAGAAUCAGAACCAUAUUUGCUUCCAGCUGGCACCUUUUCUUCCCUUAGAAAAUUGUGGAUUUCUGGAUGUCACAACAUGAAGCAGCUAUUCACAGUGCAGCCGCUGCAGAACCUUCAAAAUCUUGAAAUAUUAGAAGUUAAUGAUUGUGAAGGACUGGAGGAGAUAGCAGUAGAUGGCAAUGGAGUAGGAUAAGGAGGAGGAGAAGGCAUCCAAUUGACUUCAAGUGAAGGAGCCACCGCCAAUGUCAUCCUUCCGAAAUUGUGGUGGUUGCGUCUGACUAGGCUACCUCAACUAAAGAACAUUUUCAAGGCAGCCAUGAUCUGCGAAUCAAUCUGGUCCAUUAGUAUAGCAGAUUGUCCAAAUUUAAAGAGGCUGCCCUGGUUUCUUUCCACCAUCGACGGACCACCAUCUCCACCCAGCACUCUAGAGAUCAGAGGAGAAAAAGAAUGGUGGGAAUCAUUAGAGUGGGACAAUUCUUACCCAAAAGAUGCCCUUGACCCACUUUUUAGUGCAUGGUGAUGAAGUUCGAACUGGGUGUUGAAGGCUGCCUAUUUGAUCAAAAUCAUGAUUGGUUCUCAUGUAGCCACAAAAUUGCCGCUGUAAGAGGGGUGAUGUUGUAAAAACAAGUGCUGAUUGAAGCCUUGUUCAACAGCACCAAAUUUCCAUUAUAGAUGAUUUUUUUUUUUAACUUGAUUGUAACUGGAGCAGUGAUACAGUUUUUUGUGAUUAUUCCUUGAUUACCAACAAAACUGUUUUGGGUGCAAGUGGGAGGGGCUUGCAUCCCUUAACCAUGAGGUUUCGGGUUUGAAACUCAUGGGAAUGAAAAAAACAACAUUGGGAGAGAUUCCCCCUACAAAGGGCCCGACGUGGCUCGAACAGGAUUAGUCGCAGACCGUAAAACGGAUACGGACACCUUCAAUGACCAAGUAUUCUCCCCUAUAUAUAGGAUAUAUUUUUUUUACUAGUCCUCUGCUAAGUGCAAUAGAUGUUAGUGAAAUUGGGACAGACACGGUAGUCUUUUUAUGCAAAUUUUAACAUUUAUUAUAUU
Molecule: non-coding RNA, 5745 nt
Organism: Coffea arabica (coffee)
Lineage: Eukaryota; Viridiplantae; Streptophyta; Magnoliopsida; Gentianales; Rubiaceae
Source: RefSeq, a predicted model, not a curated record